RNAcentral lists this ribosomal RNA (458 nucleotides) under uncultured bacterium. RNAcentral describes it as "bacterial SSU rRNA". It matches the Rfam family "Bacterial small subunit ribosomal RNA", at positions 346 to 793 of the family's 1533-position model. The record is from RNAcentral.
AGGCAGCAGUGGGGAAUAUUGCACAAUGGGGGAAACCCUGAUGCAGCCAUGCCGCGUGUGUGAAGAAGGCCUUCGGGUUGUAAAGCACUUUCAGUAGGGAGGAAGGUAGUGUAGUUAACACCUGCAUUAUUUGACGUUACCUACACGAAGAAGCACCCGGCUAACUCCGUGCCAGCAGCCGCGGUAAUACGGAGGGUGCGAGCGUUAAUCGGAAUUACUGGGCGUAAAGCGCAUGCAGGCGGCCUGUUAAGUCAGAUGUGAAAGCCCGGGGCUUAACCUCGGAAUUGCAUUUGAAACUGGCAGGCUAGAGUCUUGUAGAGGGGGGUAGGAAUUUCAGGUGUAGCGGUGAAAUGCGUAGAGAUCUGAAGGAAUACCAGUGGCGAAGGCGGCCCCCUGGACAAAGACUGACGCUCAGAUGCGAAAGCGUGGGGAGCAAACAGGAUUAGAUACCCUGGUAG